RNAcentral lists this ribosomal RNA (542 nucleotides) under uncultured soil archaeon. Its description in RNAcentral is "bacterial SSU rRNA". It matches the Rfam family "Archaeal small subunit ribosomal RNA", at positions 327 to 872 of the family's 1478-position model. The record is from RNAcentral.
AGGGCGAGCAGGCGCGAAAACUGCACAAUGUGGGCAACCACGAUGCGGGAAACCCAAGUGCCAGCGCUAUGCGUUGGCUGUCCUCCAGUGUUCGUAACUGGGGAAGAAAGUGCUGGGUAAGACGGGUGCCAGCCGCCGCGGUAAUACCCGCAGCACAAGUGGUGGUCAUUAUUAUUGGGCCUAAAGCGUCCGUAGCUGGCUUGUUAGAUGCCUGGGUAAAUCGAUGCGCUCAACGCAUCGAACUCCGGGUAGACCGGCAAGCUUGGGACCGGGAGAGGCGUGAGCUACUCGAGGGGUAGGGGUAAAAUCCUGUAAUCCUUCGGGGAGGACCAGCGGCGAAGGCGUCACGCUAGAACGGCUCCGACAGUGAGGGACGAAGCCCUGGGGCGCAAACCGGAUUAGAUACCCGGGUAGUCCAGGGUGUAAACGCUGCAGACUUGGUGUCGCUGAUCCUACGAGGGUUGGCGGUGCCGUAGAGAAGUUGUUUAGUCUGCCGCCUGGGGAGUACGGUCGCAAGACUGAAACUCAAAGGAAUUGACGGA